GACGAACCGUGCGAACGUUGUUCGGAAUCACUGGGCAUAAAGGGCGCGUAGGCGGCUUUUCAAGUCAGGGGUGAAAUCCGGCAGCUCAACUGUCGAAGUGCCCUUGAUACUGAUGAGCUCGAGGGAGGUAGGGGUAUGUGGAACUUCCGGUGGAGCGGUGAAAUGCGUUGAUAUCGGAAGGAACGCCGGUGGCGAAAGCGACGUACUGGACCUCUUCUGACGCUGGGGCGCGAAAGCUAGGGGAGCAAACGGG
RNAcentral lists this ribosomal RNA (253 nucleotides) under uncultured bacterium. Its description in RNAcentral is "partial 16S ribosomal RNA". It matches the Rfam family "Bacterial small subunit ribosomal RNA", at positions 524 to 776 of the family's 1533-position model. The record is from RNAcentral.